RNAcentral lists this unclassified non-coding RNA (329 nucleotides) under soil metagenome. RNAcentral describes it as "partial contains 5.8S ribosomal RNA, internal transcribed spacer 2, and large subunit ribosomal RNA". The stretch from base 1 to 120 matches the Rfam family "5.8S ribosomal RNA", at positions 35 to 154 of the family's 154-position model. The record is from RNAcentral.
GAUGAAGAACGUAGCGAAAUGCGAUAAGUAAUGUGAAUUGCAGAAUUCAGUGAAUCAUCGAAUCUUUGAACGCACAUUGCGCCCUCUGGUAUUCCGGGGGGCAUGCCUGUUCGAGCGUCAUUACAACCCUCAAGCUUUGCUUGGUAUUGGACAUUGCCAGUUUCUGGCAGGUCUUAAAAUCAGUGGCGGUGCCAUUUGGCUUCAAGCGUAGUAAUUCUUCUCGCUUUGGAGAUCCAAGUGGUUACUUGCCAAUAACCCCCAAUUUUUUCAGGUUGACCUCGGAUCAGGUAGGGAUACCCGCUGAACUUAAGCAUAUCAGUAGCGGAGGA